This 253-nucleotide ribosomal RNA is filed under the name uncultured bacterium. RNAcentral's name for it is "partial 16S ribosomal RNA". It matches the Rfam family "Bacterial small subunit ribosomal RNA", at positions 524 to 776 of the family's 1533-position model. The record is from RNAcentral.
UACGGAGGGGGCUAGCGUUGUUCGGAAUUACUGGGCGUAAAGCGCGCGUAGGCGGACCUGCAAGUCGGGGGUGAAAGCCCGAGGCUUAACCUCGGAACUGCCUUCGAUACUGCGGGUCUCGAGUCCGGGAGAGGUGAGUGGAAUUCCUAGGGUAGAGGUGAAACUCGUAGAUAUUAGGAAGAACACCAGUGGCGAAGGCGGCUCACGGGCCCGGUACUGACGCUGACGCGCGAAAGCGUGGGGAGCAAACAGG